CGAAAUUAUUGCAUCCAUAUGAUAGAGCAUCUGAAACUCUCUUUUCAGCAAUUGAGUCUGGACAUCUGCCAGGCGAUAUUUUGGAGGAUAUACCUUGCAAAUAUGUUGACGGAACUCUAGUCUGCGAGGUGCGAGAUUAUCGGAAGUGCUUCCCUGAAGUUGGACAAAAUGCGCCUUCAACCACUGGUUGUCCCAUUAUUAACAGAGUAUGUCUAAAAAUGUCUCUUGAAAAUGUGGUGAAGGACAUUCCAUUGAUUUCAGAUAGUGCUUGGACAUACGGUGAUAUGAUGGAAGUCGAAUCCCGGAUAUUAAGAGCCCUACAACCACAACUCUGCUUAGACCCCGCCCCAAAGUUAGAAAGCCUCUGCAACAACAAAGCUUCCUCAAAGUUGACAUUGGGUAUAGGCAAUCUAAGGAGGAAAAGACUGAGGCAGCUUCCAGAUGUGAUUGUCAUGUCUAAUGAUAAGAUCCAUGGAAAAAAUAUUUGCAUAGAUAGAGUGCCAGAAAGUUCAAGGUCAGGAGAUACUGGACAGCUUCUGCCGCAGCCUGCUCAUGAGAAUCUG
This 563-nucleotide unclassified non-coding RNA is filed under the name Hevea brasiliensis (rubber tree). Lineage: Eukaryota; Viridiplantae; Streptophyta; Magnoliopsida; Malpighiales; Euphorbiaceae. The record is from RNAcentral.